RNAcentral lists this ribosomal RNA (315 nucleotides) under uncultured bacterium. RNAcentral describes it as "bacterial SSU rRNA". It matches the Rfam family "Bacterial small subunit ribosomal RNA", at positions 28 to 334 of the family's 1533-position model. The record is from RNAcentral.
GAUGAACGCUAGCGGCAGGCUUAACACAUGCAAGUCGCGGGGCAGCGGGGGAUGUAGCAAUACAUUCUGCCGGCGACCGGCGCAAGGGUGCGUAACGCGUGAGCAACAUGCCCGUCUCAGGGGGAUAACCGGUGGAAACGCCGCCUAAUACCCCAUGGUGACAUCCGGAGGCAUCUCCGGCUGUCUAAAGCUCCGGCGGAGACGGAUUGGCUCGCGUGACAUUAGCUGGACGGCGGGGUAACGGCCCACCGUGGCUACGAUGUCUAGGGGUUCUGAGAGGAAGGUCCCCCACACUGGAACUGAGACACGGUCCAG